RNAcentral lists this ribosomal RNA (253 nucleotides) under uncultured bacterium. RNAcentral's name for it is "partial 16S ribosomal RNA". It matches the Rfam family "Bacterial small subunit ribosomal RNA", at positions 524 to 776 of the family's 1533-position model. The record is from RNAcentral.
UACGAAGGGGGCUAGCGUUGCUCGGAAUGACUGGGCGUAAAGGGCGCGUAGGCGGAGUGCUUUGUCAGGCGUGAAAUUCCAGGGCUUAACCUUGGGGCUGCGUUUGAGACGGGCAUUCUUGAGUAUGGAAGAGGGUCGUGGAAUUCCCAGUGUAGAGGUGAAAUUCGUAGAUAUUCGGAAGAACACCAGUGGCGAAGGCGGCUCACUGGCCCGGUACUGACGCUGAGGUGCGAAAGCGUGGGGAGCAAACAGG